Molecule: long non-coding RNA, 1957 nt
Organism: Passer domesticus (house sparrow)
Lineage: Eukaryota; Metazoa; Chordata; Aves; Passeriformes; Passeridae
Exons: 3
Source: RefSeq, a predicted model, not a curated record
GUCAGGGAGAGCUGUUACAGCUGCAGCUGUUGCUUGGGACUCUAUGCCAGAAAGCUUUUAGUGCGGACUUUAAUACUUUAGAACAGACUUUAAUACUUUGAAUUUGUUGAGACUGAUGCAUUCAUGCAAUAAUCAAGUUUAUAGCAACCAACAACUGCUCUUGUCUCCUUGAAGACCCGAGGCCCAACUAAAGCUCGACAGAAAUGGUGAGGCCUGGCAGAGAUUCCCAGAGAAGCUGUGGCUGCCCCAUAAUCCCCAGAAGUGUCCAAAGCCAGGUUGGAUGGGGCUUGGAGCACCCUGGGAAGGUGGAAGGUCUCCCUGCCUGUAGUGGGGAUUGGAAUGAAGUGAUUUUCAAAGUCCCCUUCCAACUCUGGUUGAGGGAAAGUUGGAUUGGAGCCAGGAGGGACAUCCCUGUCCUGGUGGGAUCAGGCCCAGCAUCUCCAUCCAGGCCCGGAGGGGAUUGUUCCACUCUGCUCCAGGCUGGGAUGGCCUCACCUGGAAUAUCGUUCGUAGUUUUGGGCAUCACAAGACGUGUGCUGCCGCCUCUUUGUUCAUCUGUGCCGAAUCUCUGCUGGCAGCUGGAAUUAUGCGGCAUCUGCCAGGAGGAUUUGUCACUUCCCUGUUGUUGCCGUCGCCGGGCCAGGGGCACAUAGGCCCCAUGCCAGUUUUUCAGUGGAGCAAAAGCCUGUGUUGAGGACCAUAAAUAUUUUGGUUGCACAGAAAGAUCAAACACGUGGGCAUCUUCCCAUCACAUUCCCACCUGGAGAGGCAGCAGGAUACUCUGGACCAUCCUAAUUCAGAAGAAAUUUCAGCUGAAUCUGAGUUAAUAAACAAUGGUGGCUACGUGUUCUAGAUUUAUUAGCACAGACCCACAUCAGCAGUGUCACAUCAUCCCCUUUACUUGUGACAUUAUUUUAGUCGCACAAUCACAGAAUGAUUUGAGCUGGAACACACCUUUAAAACCAUCCAGUUCCAACACCUCCAUGGGCAGGUACACCUUCCACAAGCUACUCAGAUCUCUCUCUAAGCUGGACUUGACCAACCAGGAUAUGUUUUUUUUAUCUUUAUCUUUUCCAAGCCCUGCAAGCUUCCUUACUUCCUCUUGUGUGCUGGGAAUAUGAGGUGAGAACAGGAAGAAUUUCCUUUAUUUGGUGAUUUACAAGCUUGUAGUCACAAGUGAUUCCAAAGGUGACUUUUCCUCUCUCAGGAGCUUUGUUUUUUCCUCUAACCUGCCCAGGACUGCUGCCUCCUCAAGACUGAGGUGCUCCAUGUGCUUCCUCAUUCCAAAAUUCCUGAGUGAAACUGGACUUGCCAAUGGAGCUGCUGGUCUUGGUCACAUUUUACUUUGCAUUGCUCCCUAACUAUGGCUCAGUGGUGUGCUAAAAUUAAUCUCUUAUUAAUUGUUUUAAAACUGACUGCAUCCUGCGCUGCUUUGGGUGAGCAAUUGCCUUUCUCUGCUGGGAAAUAAUUUCGGCAUUUCAUUUGGAAAAAAGUAAUUAACUGCAUGGGUAUGCUUAGUUGAGUAAGUCAUUACAAUCUCUGACUUAUGCAAAUGAGAUUGUUCAAGUAUAAUUCUUACUGAGAUAACUCCAUACAUACAUAAACUUUUAAAUUGCAUGGUCCAGCUGAGAAUUUGUGGGCAAAUAAACGAUGUUAAUGGGUUAAUUUAUAAACUCUGUUGCAUAAUCAAUUUUCAGGGAGCAGGGAGCUUGUGAGGAAGCUGGUCCUGGUGCUUCCAGGGACUUUUUGGCACAUCAUUGGAUGGAGAACAUGAGCAAUCCACUGGUUCACACACCCCUGUGCUCGUUUUGCAGCUGCUGCAGCAUGGAACACAUUUUCAGGGUCGCUUUCCUCAUAUUCUGCCUGCUUUAAUUAGGAUGUUUAUGAUGUUGUAGAGAGAGGUGACCAUGCUCAUGGAUUUUACUAACUAUUCUGGAUUUUUUUUGUUCCAACAAAU